RNAcentral lists this small nucleolar RNA (108 nucleotides) under Dasypus novemcinctus (nine-banded armadillo). RNAcentral's name for it is "Small nucleolar RNA SNORA61 (ENSDNOG00000027004.1)". It matches the Rfam family "Small nucleolar RNA SNORA61". Rfam says of the family: ACA61 is a member of the H/ACA class of snoRNA that guide the sites of modification of uridines to pseudouridines. Lineage: Eukaryota; Metazoa; Chordata; Mammalia; Cingulata; Dasypodidae. The record is from RNAcentral.
ACCCUCUGGUUCCCUUUCUCAUUGGAUCUGAACACUGGUCUGGUUGGUUGUAAAAGGAGGAAAAGGAACUCUGAGGCUGACCUCACGGUUGUUUAGCUUCAAACUCGU